AGCGAACGCUGGCGGCAGGCCUAAUACAUGCAAGUCGAGCGGCCGUAGCAAUACGGCAGCGGCAGACGGGAGAGUAACACGUGGGAACGUACCCUUCGGUUCGGAACAACCCAGGGAAACUUGGGCUAAUACCGGAUACGUCCGUAAGGGGAAAGAUUUAUCGCCGAAAGAUCGGCCCGCGUCUGAUUAGCUUGUUGGUGAGGUAACGGCUCACCAAGGCGACGAUCAGUAGCUGGUCUGAGAGGAUGAUCAGCCUCACUGGGACUGAGACACGGCCCAGACUCCUACGGGAGGCAGCAGUAGGGAAUAUUGGACAAUGGGCGCAAGCCUGAUCCAGCCAUGCCGCGUGAGUGAUGAAGGCCCUAGGGUUGUAAAGCUCUUUCGGCGGGGAAGAUAAUGACGGUACCCGCAGAAGAAGCCCCGGCUAACUUCGUGCCAGUAGCCGCAGUAA
Molecule: ribosomal RNA, 451 nt
Filed under: uncultured bacterium
Lineage: Bacteria
Description: partial 16S ribosomal RNA
Rfam family: Bacterial small subunit ribosomal RNA
Source: RNAcentral